AUUGAACGCUGGCGGCAUGCCUUACACAUGCAAGUCGAACGGCAGCGGGCCUUCGGGUGCCGGCGAGUGGCGAACGGGUGAGUAAUGCAUCGGAACGUGCCAUUGAGUGGGGGAUAACGUAGCGAAAGUUACGCUAAUACCGCAUAUUCUGUGAGCAGGAAAGCAGGGGACCGCAAGGCCUUGCGCUCUUUGAGCGGCCGAUGUCAGAUUAGCUAGUUGGUGAGGUAAAGGCUUACCAAGGCGACGAUCUGUAGCGGGUCUGAGAGGAUGAUCCGCCACACUGGAACUGAGACACGGUCCAGACUCCUACGGGAGGCAGCAGUGGGGAAUUUUGGGCAAUGGAGGCAGCUCUGAACCAGCCAUGCCGCGUGCAGGAAGACGGCCUUAUGGGUUGUAAACUGCUUUUAAUCAGGAAUAAACCCCGGUUCGUGAGCCGGGUUGAAGGUACUGGUUGAAUAAGCACCGGCUAACUCCGUGCCAGCAGCCGCGGUAA
Molecule: ribosomal RNA, 493 nt
Filed under: uncultured bacterium
Lineage: Bacteria
Description: bacterial SSU rRNA
Rfam family: Bacterial small subunit ribosomal RNA
Source: RNAcentral